AAGGAUCAUUACCGAAUUGUCGACACGAGUUGUUGCUGGUCCUCAAACGAGGGCAUGUGCACGCUCUGUUUACACAUCCACUCACACCUGUGCACCCUCUGUAGUUCUAUGGCUUGGGGGACUCUGUUCUCCUGUCGUGGUUCUACGUCUUUACACACACUCUGUAAUGAAGUCUCAUGGAAUGUAUGCCGCGUUUAACGCAAUACAAUACAACUUUCAGCAACGGAUCUCUUGGCUCUCGCAUCGAUGAAGAACGCAGCGUAGCCAUGUAUCGAUGUGGAAGUAAAAGUCGUAACAAG
RNAcentral lists this unclassified non-coding RNA (299 nucleotides) under uncultured fungus. RNAcentral describes it as "partial contains 18S rRNA, ITS1, 5.8S rRNA, ITS2 and 28S rRNA". The stretch from base 212 to 299 matches the Rfam family "5.8S ribosomal RNA", at positions 1 to 96 of the family's 154-position model. Lineage: Eukaryota; Fungi. The record is from RNAcentral.